Molecule: ribosomal RNA, 512 nt
Filed under: Candida albicans
Lineage: Eukaryota; Fungi; Ascomycota; Pichiomycetes; Serinales; Debaryomycetaceae
Description: eukaryotic LSU rRNA
Rfam family: 5.8S ribosomal RNA (bases 144-297)
Source: RNAcentral
GGGCUACUGAUUGCUUAUUGCACCACAUGUGUUUUUCUUUGAAACAAACUUGCUUUGGCGGUGGGCCCAGCCUGCCGCCAGAGGUCUAAACUUACAACCAAUUUUUUAUCAACUUGUCACACCAGAUUAUUACUAAUAGUCAAAACUUUCAACAACGGAUCUCUUGGUUCUCGCAUCGAUGAAGAACGCAGCGAAAUGCGAUACGUAAUAUGAAUUGCAGAUAUUCGUGAAUCAUCGAAUCUUUGAACGCACAUUGCGCCCUCUGGUAUUCCGGAGGGCAUGCCUGUUUGAGCGUCGUUUCUCCCUCAAACCGCUGGGUUUGGUGUUGAGCAAUACGACUUGGGUUUGCUUGAAAGACGGUAGUGGUAAGGCGGGAUCGCUUUGACAAUGGCUUAGGUCUAACCAAAAACAUUGUUUGCGGCGGUAACGUCCACCACGUAUAUCUUCAAACUUUGACCUCAAAUCAGGUAGGACUACCCGCUGAACUUAAGCAUAUCAAAAGCCGGGAGGAA